GACGAACGCUGGCGGCGUGCCUAAUACAUGCAAGUAGAACGCUGAAGAGAGGAGCUUGCUCUUCUUGGAUGAGUUGCGAACGGGUGAGUAACGCGUAGGUAACCUGCCUGGUAGCGGGGGAUAACUAUUGGAAACGAUAGCUAAUACCGCAUAAAAUGGAUUAUCGCAUGAUAAUCCAUUGAAAGGUGCAAAUGCCUCACUACCAGAUGGACCUGCGUUGUAUUAGCUAGUUGGUGGGGUAACGGCUCACCAAGGCGACGAUACAUAGCCGACCUGAGAGGGUGAUCGGCCACACUGGGACUGAGACACGGCCCAGACUCCUACGGGAGGCAGCAGUAGGGAAUCUUCGGCAAUGGACGGAAGUCUGACCGAGCAACGCCGCGUGAGUGAAGAAGGUUUUCGGAUCGUAAAGCUCUGUUGUAAGAGAAGAACGAGUGUGAGAGUGGAAAGUUCACACUGUGACGGUAUCUUACCAGAAAGGGACGGCUAACUACGUG
Molecule: ribosomal RNA, 497 nt
Filed under: uncultured bacterium
Lineage: Bacteria
Description: partial 16S ribosomal RNA
Rfam family: Bacterial small subunit ribosomal RNA
Source: RNAcentral